CUCGUAGGUGGCCAACUAAGUCAGACGUGAAAUCCCUCGGCUUAACCGGGGAACUGCGUCUGAUACUGGAUGGCUUGAGUUUGGGAGAGGGAUGCGGAAUUCCAGGUGUAGCGGUGAAAUGCGUAGAUAUCUGGAGGAACACCGGUGGCGAAGGCGGCAUCCUGGACCAAUACUGACACUGAGGAGCGAAAGCCAGGGGAGCAAACG
Molecule: ribosomal RNA, 207 nt
Filed under: uncultured bacterium
Lineage: Bacteria
Description: partial 16S ribosomal RNA
Rfam family: Bacterial small subunit ribosomal RNA
Source: RNAcentral